CCUACGGGUGACAGCAGUGAGGAAUAUUGGUCAAUGGGCGGGAGCCUGAACCAGCCAAGCCGCGUGAGGGAAGAAGGUACAGCGUAUCGUAAACCUCUUUUGUCAGGGAACAAAGGCGGGGACUAGUCCCCGGAUGAGGGUACCUGAAGAAAAAGCAUCGGCUAACUCCGUGCCAGCAGCCGCGGUAAUACGGAGGAUGCGAGCGUUAUCCGGAUUUAUUGGGUUAAAAGGGUGCGCAGGCGGCCUGUUAAGUCAGCGGUAAAAGCCCGGGGCUCAACCCCGGCGCGCCGUUGAAACUGGCGGUCUUGAGUUGGAGAGAAGUACGCGGAAUGCGCGGUGUAGCGGUGAAAUGCUUAGAUAUCGCGCAGAACCCCGAUUGCGAAGGCAGCAUACCGGCUCCACACUGACGCUGAGGCACGAAAGCGUGGGUAUCGAACAGGAUUAGAUACCCGUGUAGUC
Molecule: ribosomal RNA, 459 nt
Filed under: uncultured bacterium
Lineage: Bacteria
Description: partial 16S ribosomal RNA
Rfam family: Bacterial small subunit ribosomal RNA
Source: RNAcentral